AUGAGCCAGUAGUUGUGUAGCCACCAACCAACCGUUGUGCUUAUUUACUUACUCUCCACCCUGUUAUUAUUCAUUAGUACUAGUGCAUUUACAAUGUUUAAUGUGUUUUUUUAAUCUAUGUUUAAUAUGUGAGAGAUUGGAGGAUACCAACGUGCUAGCGAGCAGGCUUCUUUUACAAUGGCGCAACCAGUCACACCUCUUUCUGUGACGCAAUAGAUGAGAGCCGACAUGAAGCUAUAGGAACACCGCCAUCUUCAGUGGGGAGAACUUGCUUGAAAAAUGAGGGAAAAAGGAGAAUGUAUUGAUGUCAAAUCCUGUAGGCCAGGGUCAUGUAGCCGGGGAUAGGUUAAAGAAGACCCGCUGCGCCGUUGCUGCAACAAAAAUACAUGUGGCCAAUUAGUUUAUGCAAAAAUGCUGGGUUGUAGGUUUUGGAUUGAAUUCCAUAUCUAUUGUAUUAC
Molecule: long non-coding RNA, 458 nt
Filed under: Hordeum vulgare
Lineage: Eukaryota; Viridiplantae; Streptophyta; Magnoliopsida; Poales; Poaceae
Description: long non-coding RNA (HVUL_LNC013541)
Source: RNAcentral